Molecule: ribosomal RNA, 433 nt
Filed under: uncultured bacterium
Lineage: Bacteria
Description: partial 16S ribosomal RNA
Rfam family: Bacterial small subunit ribosomal RNA
Source: RNAcentral
AACGAACGCUGGCGGCAUGCCUAACACAUGCAAGUCGAACGAGACCUUCGGGUCUAGUGGCGCACGGGUGCGUAACGCGUGGGAACCUGCCCUUAGGUUCGGAAUAACUCCCCGAAAGGGGUGCUAAUACCGGAUAAUGUCUUCGGACCAAAGAUUUAUCGCCUUUGGAUGGGCCCGCGUUGGAUUAGCUAGUUGGUAGGGUAAAAGCCUACCAAGGCGACGAUCCAUAGCUGGUGUGAGAGGAUGAUCCGCCACACUGGGACUGAGACACGGCCCAGACUCCUACGGGAGGCAGCAGUGGGGAAUAUUGGACAAUGGGCGAAAGCCUGAUCCAGCAAUGCCGCGUGAGUGAUGAAGGCCUUAGGGUUGUAAAGCUCUUUUACCCGGGAUGAUAAUGACAGUACCGGGAGAAUAAGCUCCGGCUAACUCCGUG